UCUCCGUUGGUGAACCAGCGGAGGGAUCAUUACCGAGUUAUCAACUCCCAAACCCCUGUGAACAUACCUGUACGUUGCCUCGGCGGGACCGCCCCGGCGCCCAUCUCGCGGCCCGGAACCAGGCGCCCGCCGGAGGUAUAUAACUCUUUGUAUUAUGGUCUCUCUGAGUAAAUUUAUAAUAAGUCAAAACUUUUAACAACGGAUCUCUUGGUUCUG
This 216-nucleotide unclassified non-coding RNA is filed under the name plant metagenome. Its description in RNAcentral is "partial contains small subunit ribosomal RNA, internal transcribed spacer 1, and 5.8S ribosomal RNA". The record is from RNAcentral.